UCGGGUGUGGUGCACGGUGCACCGCUGCACUUUGGGGUUGGAUUUUGAAGUAAAAGCAGUGAGUCGGGGUUCGAUUCCUCGCACCCGAA
Molecule: non-coding RNA, 89 nt
Organism: Mycena leptocephala
Lineage: Eukaryota; Fungi; Basidiomycota; Agaricomycetes; Agaricales; Mycenaceae
Source: the annotation of a GenBank genome assembly